This 412-nucleotide ribosomal RNA is filed under the name uncultured bacterium. Its description in RNAcentral is "bacterial SSU rRNA". It matches the Rfam family "Bacterial small subunit ribosomal RNA", at positions 505 to 916 of the family's 1533-position model. The record is from RNAcentral.
GUGCCAGCCGCCGCGGUAAUACGGAGGGAGCUAGCGUUGUUCGGAAUUACUGGGCGUAAAGCGUGCGUAGGCGGCGAUUCAAGUCAGAGGUGAAAGCCUGGAGCUCAACUCCAGAACUGCCUUUGAAACUAGAUUGCUAGAAUCUGGGAGAGGUGAGUGGAAUUCCGAGUGUAGAGGUGAAAUUCGUAGAUAUUCGGAAGAACACCAGUGGCGAAGGCGGCUCACUGGACCAGUAUUGACGCUGAGGCACGAAAGCGUGGGGAGCAAACAGGAUUAGAUACCCUGGUAGUCCACGCCGUAAACGAUGAUAACUAGCUGCCAGGGUUCAUAGAACUUUGGUGGCGCAGCUAACGCAUUAAGUUAUCCGCCUGGGGAGUACGGUCGCAAGGUUGAAACUUAAAUAAAUUGACAG